UACGGAGGGGGCUAGCGUUGUUCGGAAUUACUGGGCGUAAAGCGUGCGCAGGCGGUUGUGCAAGACAGGUGUGAAAUCCCCGGGCUUAACCUGGGAACUGCACUUGUGACUGCACGGCUAGGGUACGGUAGAGGGGGAUGGAAUUCCGCGUGUAGCAGUGAAAUGCGUAGAUAUGCGGAGGAACACCGAUGGCGAAGGCAAUCCCCUGGACCUGUACUGACGCUCAUGCACGAAAGCGUGGGGAGCAAACAGG
Molecule: ribosomal RNA, 253 nt
Filed under: uncultured bacterium
Lineage: Bacteria
Description: partial 16S ribosomal RNA
Rfam family: Bacterial small subunit ribosomal RNA
Source: RNAcentral